RNAcentral lists this transfer RNA (69 nucleotides) under Ictidomys tridecemlineatus (thirteen-lined ground squirrel). RNAcentral's name for it is "Spermophilus tridecemlineatus (thirteen-lined ground squirrel) tRNA". It matches the Rfam family "tRNA". From Rfam's summary of the family: Transfer RNA (tRNA) molecules are approximately 80 nucleotides in length. Their secondary structure includes four short double-helical elements and three loops (D, anti-codon, and T loops). Lineage: Eukaryota; Metazoa; Chordata; Mammalia; Rodentia; Sciuridae. The record is from Rfam by way of RNAcentral.
GGGGUUGUGGCUCAGUAAUAGAGCACUUGCCUGGCAUGUGUGAGGCUCUGGGUUCAAUUCUCAGCACCA